This 1380-nucleotide long non-coding RNA is filed under the name Capsicum annuum. RNAcentral describes it as "long non-coding RNA (CANN_LNC020690)". Lineage: Eukaryota; Viridiplantae; Streptophyta; Magnoliopsida; Solanales; Solanaceae. The record is from RNAcentral.
GAUACCUACAAUUACCGUCGUAACUCCACAACAAGCGAAACAUUUAACACACCUUCUACGACGUCGUUUCUUAGACAACUCUGUAUUUGAUGUUGCUGACGUGUAAUUAACGCCUUCUUCGUUUUCGACGUGUAUACGAUGAGAUGAAGGUGCCAAUGGACGAACUUGAUCUCUAGAUGAAUUUGGAGAUUGUGGUGGAGACAUUUUUAGAAACUUUCUAAAUUGUAAGAUUGAAAUUUGAUAAUAUAAUUUUUAUACUAUGAUAUGAAAAUGAUGAAUUUAUAUAUAAGAUAAAGUCCUUGUAUAUGUGUAUAUAUAUAAUGUAUACUUUUAAUUAACCGCGUUAACACGGCUAUGAAUAUUGACUUGGUGUGGGGACAUGUGAUAUAAUUGUGUUGAAUUAUUUUUAUUUUCUUUUUCUAUAAAUUAAUGAAUUUACAAUAUUAUCUACAGUGUCACACGUUCGAAUUCCAAAAAUUGACCCGUCAGAAUUAGAUCAAGAUCGCUCAGUGAUUCACUGUAGUGUCACAUGUACGAAUUCCACAACCCGACUCAUCAGAAUCAGAUCGCCACUAUAGUGUCACACGUUCGAGUUCCACUAACUACAUUGAAACUUUCCUAUCACAAUCCAUAUUGCCCUUAACUUGUUGUCGUUGUAAAUCAAUCACCAUAUUACAAUUCAUCCUUACACCAACGCUUUUUUUAAAUAAACCUAAAUUAACCCUUCCAUUAAUAUUUGUUGACAUACUUAUCGGCAAUUCCAUAGCUAUCAAAUCAUUUGUUAGCCUUGGAAUUCCCACUAAUUUCUCCGUCAUAACCGUAACGCUCACAUCCAUUCGCAAUGUCCUCCGAGCCCUAGCCGACCCUCGCGGUAUCAGGGCUUCCGCUAUGACUCUGUCACUGUAACUGACACCAGCGGUCGCGGCCCUGAACUUGAACGAGACCGAGUUAGGGUUUUUAAUAGAAAUAUCAGCAACGACCGUAAUAUUCAAGUUGGGUUGGAGAUUCGAACUACGAGUAAGGGAACUCAACCCCUCGAACCUAAUCGAGUUCAUUCUUAUCUUAGGAUCUUUCGCCUUGAAAACAGUCAGCGCGAGGAUCAAAAUAACGAUACCUACAAUUACCGUCGUAACUCCACAACAAGCGAAACAUUUAACACACCUUCUACGACGUCGUUUCUUAGACAACUCUGUAUUUGAUGUUGCUGACGUGUAAUUAACGCCUUCUUCGUUUUCGACGUGUAUACGAUGAGAUGAAGGUGCCAAUGGACGAACUUGAUCUCUAGAUGAAUUUGGAGAUUGUGGUGGAGACAUUUUUAGAAACUUUCUAAAUUGUAAGAUUGAAAUUUGAUAAUAUAAUUUUUAUACUAUGAUAUGAAAA